AUAAACGCUGGCGGCGUGCAUGAGACAUGCAAGUCGAACGAAGGAUCGGGCUUGUUCGAUCCUUAGUGGCGGACGGCUGAGUAACGCGUAGGUGACCUACCCCGAAGUGGGGAAUAACUGCCCGAAAGGGUGGCUAAUACCGCAUGUGGUCGCACGUUCAUUCGUGCGAGUAAAGCCGCAAGGCGCUUCGGGAGGGGCCUGCGUCCGAUUAGCUCGUUGGUGGGGUAAUGGCUUACCAAGGCGACGAUCGGUAGGUGGUCUGAGAGGACGAUCACCCAGACUGGGACUGAGACACGGCCCAGACUCCUACGGGAGGCAGCAGUCGGGAAUUUUGCUCAAUGGGGGAAACCCUGAAGCAGCAACGCCGCGUGAGGGAUGAAGGCCUUCGGGUUGUAAACCUCUUUUGUCAGGGACGAUGAUGACGGUACCUGGCGAAUAAGCCACGGCUAACUACGUG
This 457-nucleotide ribosomal RNA is filed under the name uncultured bacterium. RNAcentral describes it as "partial 16S ribosomal RNA". It matches the Rfam family "Bacterial small subunit ribosomal RNA", at positions 29 to 507 of the family's 1533-position model. The record is from RNAcentral.